RNAcentral lists this RNase P RNA (370 nucleotides) under Thermoflexus hugenholtzii. Its description in RNAcentral is "Bacterial RNase P class A". It matches the Rfam family "Bacterial RNase P class A". From Rfam's summary of the family: Ribonuclease P (RNase P) is a ubiquitous endoribonuclease, found in archaea, bacteria and eukarya as well as chloroplasts and mitochondria. Its best characterised activity is the generation of mature 5'-ends of tRNAs by cleaving the 5'-leader elements of precursor-tRNAs. RNAcentral also lists the same sequence under 1 other name. Lineage: Bacteria; Bacillati; Chloroflexota; Thermoflexia; Thermoflexales; Thermoflexaceae. The record is from RNAcentral.
CCAGCAGGCCGGGCAGCCGCUCCCCGCCCCGUGCGGGGAGAGGAAAGUCCGGACUCCACCGGGCAGGGUGCCAGGUAACGCCUGGGCGGCGCGAGCCGACGGAAAGUGCAACAGAAACAUACCGCCUCCGGUCGCCCCCGGCGGCCGGCGGUAAGGGUGAAAUGGUGCGGUAAGAGCGCACCGGCGUCCCGGUAACGGGGCGGCCGUGCAAACCCCACCCGGAGCAAGGCCGAAUAGGGGAGGAGGGUGCCCGGCCCGCCACAACUCCCGGGUUGGCCGCUAGAGCGCGCCGGCGACGGCGCGCCCAGAGAGAUGGCUGCCGCCCCGCCUCCGCGGGGUACAGAAUCCGGCUUACAGGCCUGCUGGACGC